RNAcentral lists this ribosomal RNA (274 nucleotides) under uncultured bacterium. RNAcentral describes it as "partial 16S ribosomal RNA". It matches the Rfam family "Archaeal small subunit ribosomal RNA", at positions 473 to 747 of the family's 1478-position model. The record is from RNAcentral.
AAACCAGCACCUCAAGUGGUCAGGAGGUUUAUUGGGCCUAAAGCAUCCGUAGCCUGAUCUAUAAGUUUCCGGUUAAAUCCAAAUGCUCAACAUUUGGGCUGCCGGAAAAACUGUAGAUCUAGGGAGUGGGAGAGGUAGACGGUACUCGGUAGGAAGGGGUAAAAUCCUUUGAUCUAUUGAUGACCACCAGUGGCGAAGGCGGUCUACCAGAACACGUUCGACGGUGAGGGAUGAAAGCUGGGGGAGCAAACCGGAUUAGAAACCCCGGUAGUCC